AGUGAACGCUGGCGGUAGGCCUAACACAUGCAAGUCGAACGGCAGCACAGUAAGAGCUUGCUCCUACGGGUGGCGAGUGGCGGACGGGUGAGGAAUACAUCGGAAUCUAAUUUUUCGUGGGGGAUAACGUAGGGAAACUUACGCUAAUACCGCAUACGACCUACGGGUGAAAGCAGGGGAUCUUCGGACCUUGCGCGAUUGAAUGAGCCGAUGUCGGAUUAGCUAGUUGGCGGGGUAAAGGCCCACCAAGGCGACGAUCCGUAGCUGGUCUGAGAGGAUGAUCAGCCACACUGGAACUGAGACACGGUCCAGACUCCUACGGGAGGCAGCAGUGGGGAAUAUUGGACAAUGGGCGCAAGCCUGAUCCAGCCAUACCGCGUGGGUGAAGAAGGCCUUCGGGUUGUAAAGCCCUUUUGUUGGGAAAGAAAAGCAGCGGAUGAAUACCCCGCUGUUCUGACGGUACCCAAAGAGUAAGCACCGGCUAACUUCGUG
Molecule: ribosomal RNA, 492 nt
Filed under: uncultured bacterium
Lineage: Bacteria
Description: partial 16S ribosomal RNA
Rfam family: Bacterial small subunit ribosomal RNA
Source: RNAcentral